This 234-nucleotide ribosomal RNA is filed under the name uncultured bacterium. RNAcentral describes it as "partial 16S ribosomal RNA". It matches the Rfam family "Bacterial small subunit ribosomal RNA", at positions 28 to 261 of the family's 1533-position model. The record is from RNAcentral.
GACGAACGCUGGCGGCGUGCCUAACACAUGCAAGUCGAACGGGACCAGGGGCAACUCUGGUUCAGUGGCGGGCGGGUGCGUAACACGUGAGGAACAUGACUUUCGGCGGGGGAGUAGCCGGCCCAACGGCCGGGUAAUACCGCGUACGACCUGUUGGGGACAUCCCCGACUUGGUGAAAGCAGCAAUGCGCCGAAAGAGUGCCUCGCGGCCUAUCAGCUAGUUGGUGGGGUAAU